This 869-nucleotide ribosomal RNA is filed under the name Psychrobacter sp. 8-5. RNAcentral's name for it is "bacterial SSU rRNA". It matches the Rfam family "Bacterial small subunit ribosomal RNA", at positions 43 to 906 of the family's 1533-position model. The record is from RNAcentral. Lineage: Bacteria; Pseudomonadati; Pseudomonadota; Gammaproteobacteria; Moraxellales; Moraxellaceae.
GGGGCCUUACCAUGCAAGUCGAGCGGAAACGAUGAUAGCUUGCUAUCAGGCGUCGAGCGGCGGACGGGUGAGUAAUACUUAGGAAUCUACCUAGUAGUGGGGGAUAGCUCGGGGAAACUCGAAUUAAUACCGCAUACGACCUACGGGAGAAAGGGGGCAACUUGUUGCUCUCGCUAUUAGAUGAGCCUAAGUCGGAUUAGCUAGAUGGUGGGGUAAAGGCCUACCAUGGCGACGAUCUGUAGCUGGUCUGAGAGGAUGAUCAGCCACACCGGGACUGAGACACGGCCCGGACUCCUACGGGAGGCAGCAGUGGGGAAUAUUGGACAAUGGGGGCAACCCUGAUCCAGCCAUGCCGCGUGUGUGAAGAAGGCCUUUUGGUUGUAAAGCACUUUAAGCAGUGAAGAAGACUCCAUGGUUAAUACCCAUGGACGAUGACAUUAGCUGCAGAAUAAGCACCGGCUAACUCUGUGCCAGCAGCCGCGGUAAUACAGAGGGUGCAAGCGUUAAUCGGAAUUACUGGGCGUAAAGCGAGCGUAGGUGGCUUGAUAAGUCAGAUGUGAAAUCCCCGGGCUUAACCUGGGAACUGCAUCUGAUACUGUUAGGCUAGAAUAGGUGAGAGGAAGGUAGAAUUCCAGGUGUAGCGGUGAAAUGCGUAGAGAUCUGGAGGAAUACCGAUGGCGAAGGCAGCCUUCUGGCAUCAUAUUGACACUGAGGUUCGAAAGCGUGGGUAGCAAACAGGAUUAGAUACCCUGGUAGUCCACGCCGUAAACGAUGUCUACUAGUCGUUGGGUCCCUUGAGGACUUAGUGACGCAGCUAACGCAAUAAGUAGACCGCCUGGGGAGUACGGCCGCAAGGUUAAAACUCAAAU